RNAcentral lists this long non-coding RNA (1063 nucleotides) under Brassica napus (rape). RNAcentral describes it as "long non-coding RNA (BNAP_LNC023749)". The record is from RNAcentral. Lineage: Eukaryota; Viridiplantae; Streptophyta; Magnoliopsida; Brassicales; Brassicaceae.
AAAUCUAAAAGAAUACUCUUCUAUCAACAAAAGUUUUUCUUAUCCUAAUUUAUAAAUCACAACCCCAAAUCUACAAUACUUAUCUAUAAUAAUGAAAAACUUUCCUAAAAUAGAAUUUUUAAAAAUUAUAUUUAAAAAAUACAAUAUAUUGAUAAAAAAAUCAAACAAAAUACUCUUCUAUCAACAAAAAUUCUUGUUAUCCUAAUCUCUAAACCAAAAUCCCAAAUGUACAAUAUUUCUCUACAAAAAUGAAAACUUUCUUAAAAUAGAAUUUUUGAGAAUUUUAUUUGUAAAAUACUACCUAUUGAUAAAAAAAUUUAAAAGAAUCCUCUUCUUUCAACAAAAGUUUUUCUUAUCCUAGUUUAAAAAUCACAACCCCAAAUCUACAAUAUUUAUCUAUAAAAAUGAAAACUAUCCUAAAAUAGAAUUUUUGAAAAAUUUAUUUAAAAAAUACAAUAUAUUGAUUAAAAAAAUCAAACAAAAUACUCUUCUAUCAACAAAAAUUUUUGUUGUCCUAAUUUCUAAACCAUAAUCCCAAAUGUACAAUAUUUCUCUACAAAAAUGAAAACUUUCCUAAAAUAGAAUUUUUAAGAAUUUUAUUUUUAAAAUACAACCUAUUGAUCAAAAAAUCUAAAAGAAUACUCUUCUAUCAACAAAAGUUUUUCUUAUCCUAAUUUAUAAAUCACAACCCCAAAUCUACAAUAUUUAUCUACAAAAAUGAAAACUUUUCUAAAAUAGAAUUUUUGAAAAUUUUAUUUUUAAAAUACAACCUAUUGAUCAAAAAAUCUAAAAGAAUACUCUUCUAUCAACAAAAGUUUUUCUUAUCCUAAUUUAUAAAUCACAACCCCAAAUCUACAAUACUUAUCUAUAAUAAUGAAAAACUUUCCUAAAAUAGAAAUUUUUGAAAAUUAUAUUUAAAAAAUACAAUAUAUUGAUAAAAAAAUCAAACAAAAUACUCUUCUAUCAACAAAAAUUCUUGUUGUCCUAAUCUCUAAACCACAAUGCCAAAUGUACAAUAUGUCUCUACAAAAAUGAAAAUUUUCCUAAAAUAGAAUUUUUGAGA